RNAcentral lists this transfer RNA (72 nucleotides) under Rhizobium sp. AG855. Its description in RNAcentral is "tRNA-Arg". It matches the Rfam family "tRNA". From Rfam's summary of the family: Transfer RNA (tRNA) molecules are approximately 80 nucleotides in length. Their secondary structure includes four short double-helical elements and three loops (D, anti-codon, and T loops). Lineage: Bacteria; Pseudomonadati; Pseudomonadota; Alphaproteobacteria; Hyphomicrobiales; Rhizobiaceae. The record is from RNAcentral.
GCGUCAGUAGCUCAACGGUAGAGCGGUCGGUUUCCUACCCGACAGAUGCGGGCUCGAAACCCGUCUGGCGCU